ACGACAAAACAAGUGGAGUUGCGCGUACACGCCCAAUAAAAAACGCUUAAAUUUGGAUAAAAGGAUUUAAAAAGGAUAUGCCUUCCAGUUGUGCGAGUGAAAAUGAAUCAGUAUAAAAGUGAAAAACAGCUGGCAUACCUGUAUCCGCUUAUCGCGACCUUAUCUUUCGUGUGUUGUAUUUCGACCACCGUGGCUUGGCAGCAUUGGGCUUAUGUCUUGGACACCUGUAUCGAGACGAAUUGCGGUUGCAUUCUUCAUGGACGCUCCACUCCGACCUUCUUUACCGGUGGCCAUGUGGCCUAUUGCCACUGGGCUGCUUACGGAUUGGUGCUACCCAUAAUCUUUUGCUUCAUUUUUGGCAUCUUCCACGUUUCGCGUGUGUUUUUCGGUCGCCGUAGACCGCGCCCAGGGACUGCUUCUGUACGGCAAAGAUCUGGCGACAUUAUCGUGAUGACCACAAAAUCCGACGUCGAGGAAGACGACAUUAACCCUUACUACUGGAUUCCGGCCAGUGUGAUCGGCAGUCUGAUGGCAGUUUUAACGCUCGUUCAUGCAGCCAUGUACCUGGACGGAUUCAUAAAUACCUGCAACCAACAACGCUACGAACUCAUUAAAUACAUGCAAGCGAACGGCAGCUUAGUGCCCAUAAUUCAGAGUCGCAUAUCGUGCUCAUCGGUGCUGGACUUCAUGGACUAUCUGCACCUGGAUGUUUCGUUCGACAGACGACGAGAGGGCCGAAUUAAUACCGCUGCUGCACUGAUCAUUGGUUUGAUAUGCUCAUGGACCUGCAUCCUUCUAUGGAUUUGGACCGUGGUCAUUAACGCAAAAAGGGCUAGAGCCAGUCGGAGAUUGCGCAUCUGAGGGCAUUGCCCACGGAUUGUAGUCUACCGCGUAAUGUGUCUGCUAGCUGUUCCAAGGAAAAAUGCUUUACCAGAACCACCAGAACGGAGGAGAAGGAGUACUCUUCGGACCAUUUCUAGCUUCCAUCAGUGAACGCGAGAAAUUCCCACCCGCUUACUCUGCCAAUAUGGACACACGCCGGGAUGCGGCAUUGGGUCGAUGUUUCUGGAUCGAUGAUAAACUAUCAUUGUUUAUUUUCCGGUAAGUAACUCAUCGGUUGUCGGCCAGGACAAUCAUUCAGCAUAGGAUUCACGCGUCAUUUCUCCUCCAAACUGAACCACUCGGCAAACCAUAUUUUGACGAUUAUUGUGGGGAAUGAUAACACGGUGUAAUCGCAUUAAUUUUGUCCACAAAACACAUUCGCGCUCAUCAUCGCGCCGUUAUCUUUCUCUUGAUUAUGCUGCCGCCGCACUGUGUUGAAAUAGCAGAAGGGGUUUUCUCAGAGGCGCUGCCGGUUGUAUGGUCGGAAAUUCCGAAAAUUGGAUACAAUUGUUUGGGACACGUGCAAGCGGGUCGUGUGCGGUUUCAUGACACACGUGACGGUUGAAAUGGCCGUAACUGCACCGAAAGACUGAUACCGAAAGGUACGCUUGGAGGACUCUGCGUCCGGUUUGGAAUAGGACAGGGAUGACAUGAAAUAUGUAAGCCGCGGUAAUAUGUGAAUGUGAAAAUUUUUAGAACAAAAGUAUUCCAUUCAGAAAAUUCAGUUGAACAAACAUAAUCUCUAUUAGAUGUCAUCAAGGCACUGCUUCUGCAAACGAGUUAACCAUGAUUUAUUUAAUUGUACUGCCAAACAUAAAUGCAAACAAAUAAUAGCAUCGAUACGGCGUACCGAUCGGAGGAAAACAUUAUCCAAAUUGGUGCAAGUGUAGCUUACGUUCCCUCACCUUGCUUUAAAACACAUCUUAACAGUCCAUGAAUUAUGCUGAUUAAAGCGAUCCAGCGAAGCAACCGCGGCCUGCUGUAACCAUGGAAGACGGAUGCUCCUGUGGCGAAUUUCAGAUUAACAGAACGGGUAUUUUGUUGGGCGCUAUAUCAACAGAAGCUACCACAUUUUGGCCUCAUUUUAUGUGCCAUCCAGAAUGAUCCAUCAUUGGAACUGACUCCAAAUCACAAUUCUAUAUCCUGUUUCUCUAGUUCCAAACGUUUUAUGAUCAUUUAUGUAAAAUUCGAUAUUCGUUAGCAUAUAAUUUCUGAAUACAUUUGGUCACUGGUUGUAAAUACGAUUGUGAAAAAACGUGGUGGAAGUAGCAGGGUAAAGGCAGUACAAUUUUCUAAACAAAAGAAACAAAACACUCAGCAGAACUCAAAGAUUUAGAAACAACCGAAGUUUGUUUCUUAAUUUCAGAAUUCGUUUUGAGUCUGACUGCAUGCCUCAUCUGACUUUAUCUGACAUGCGAGAAAUUCCGACCUUACUCUUAACACCCCGCACGAAGCGUAAAAUGAGGCAAAUUUAAAUUCAAUAAACCCGCAUCGUGACAGUCGGCAGGUGCCUACGGGGGAUGCUUUGUCGGACAUGGGCUGCAUUGGGAUCCGUCUCGCAUAGUAUUAGCCCCGAUAGAUGAAGAUAGGGAAGACCCAACAAGAGACAAGCUAAGCGGUCGGUUUCAAUCACACAUACAAGCACAAAGAGAUUUACACUACCUGACUAGGAGGAAGAGAUCCAGGGACCAGUUUUGGCGGAUCGUAAGUGUGAUUCGCGAAUCUUUCAGUCGCGCACGAUUUAAUAAUCAACGGCUUAGUUUGGCCUUUGCAGUGCACAUUGAGAGAUUGUCGAAAAACUGUCCAUUUUGCGAAUUUGACGAAAUUUUGAUUCAAAACGCUAUGCAGUUCAUUGCUCUGUUGAAUCGGAAUCUUUUCUUGACUCACCUGAAAGGCAGCAAAAAUACAUUAAGGAUUCACUCCAAUAUCGAGCUUGAAUAAUUAACCGUUGCUGCGCGACUCACUUUACCACUAUUCGUUGACACGCGCUAUAAAUGAGUGAUACGCCAAUGUUAUUCAGGUUCAUUGGGGCGUUUUUGCAUGAUCAGGAGUUAGGCGGAGAAAUAAACGAGUUGAGCGACCGGUUUGGCCGAACAUUCUGUUUCUUAAAUUAUGUGUUGAAAGGUUUAAAUGUUUGUUUUGUCCGAUUGAAGACAACAGAUGCUGCCGUCAUCACUUGCGGAAGUGCGGUAUGAUAGAAGAGCAACAUUUCCAAGGAAUAGUGGUUAUAUAAAAUAAUAAAUUCUUGUUUAUCAUUAUGAUAGAUGACAUUUUCUU
Molecule: RNA transcript, 3159 nt
Organism: Anopheles darlingi
Lineage: Eukaryota; Metazoa; Arthropoda; Insecta; Diptera; Culicidae
Exons: 4
Source: RefSeq, a predicted model, not a curated record